This 597-nucleotide ribosomal RNA is filed under the name uncultured fungus. RNAcentral describes it as "eukaryotic LSU rRNA". The stretch from base 188 to 341 matches the Rfam family "5.8S ribosomal RNA". Lineage: Eukaryota; Fungi. The record is from RNAcentral.
UCCGUAGGUGAACCUGCGGAGGGAUCAUUAAAGAGUUGCAAAACUCCCAACCAUUGCUAAACAACCACUGUUUCUUCGGCGGGUGGCCGCAUGGCCGCGCGCACCCUUCUCGGGGGGGACGCACCCCGCCGGAGCACACCAAACUCUUGUCAUUAUUGAUGCUCUGAGUAAAAAACAAAAUUAUUACAACUUUCAACAAUGGAUCUCUUGGCUCUGGCAUCGAUGAAGAACGCAGCGAAAUGCGAUACGUAAUGUGAAUUGCAGAAUCCAGUGAAUCAUCGAAUCUUUGAACGCACAUUGCGCCCGCCAGUAUUCUGGCGGGCAUGCCUGUCCGAGCGUCAUUUCAACCAUCAAGCCUAGUGCUUGUGUUGGGGCCCCGCGGCUGCCGCGGGCCCUGAAAAGAAGUGGCGGGCUCGCUACAACUCCGAGCGUAGUAAUCUUUUAUCUCGCUAGGGAAGUGUGGCGUGCUCCUGCCGUUAAAGACCCCAUCUUUAACAAGGUUGACCUCGGAUCAGGUAGGAAUACCCGCUGAACUUAAGCAUAUCAAUAAGGCGGGAGGGGAAGGUCGGACUGGCCAAGGGCACACAGGGGGGGAUA